CCCUUAGAUGUUCUGGGCCGCACGCGUGCUACACUGAGUGGAUCAGCGGGUCAGGUUGCGCGAAAGCGUUUCCUAAUCUUUAAAUCCGCUCGUGAUGGGGAUUGACGGUUGCAAUUUUCUGUCAUGAACGAGGAAUACCUUGUAAGCGCGGGUCAUCAUCCCGCGCUGAAUACGUCCCUGCCCUUUGUACACACCGCCCAUCGCUCCUACCGAUUGAGUGGUCCGGUGAGGCUUUGGGAUCUGAGCGGAAAGAGCGUUUCGCUGUUUCUGCUCGGAAAACUCAGUCGAACCUUAUCAUUUAGAGGAAGGAGAAGUCGUAACA
Molecule: ribosomal RNA, 322 nt
Filed under: uncultured eukaryote
Lineage: Eukaryota
Description: partial 18S ribosomal RNA
Rfam family: Eukaryotic small subunit ribosomal RNA
Source: RNAcentral